UUGCUAGCGCCGGCCCUGCUGGUGACAACUGGAAAGGCCCAUUUCCCCCAGAGAUCCCCUUUGCUCCGUCGGCCGCCUCAUCCCCCCAUCCCCCCCCCUUGGUCUCUCCCUGCCGGUUGGCUCCGCGGGCCAUUCUCAGGGUGCCGGCGGACAGGCGGACCGAGAGAGGGGUGGGGAGAGGCGGCCUCUUUCCCAGGCGCGCUCCUGUACGCAGGCUCCGAGGCCGGCUCCUCCCUGACCCUCCAAGGGCGACGGCGGCAGAGGGGCUCUCCUGUCUCGCCGGCAUCUCCAGCCUCAUGGAGGCGAGGCCGGGCAGCACCGGCAGCGGCGGCAGCGGCAGCAAGCAGAGCCGCCCUCGGGGGCUGGAGCUCCGCAGAGGCAGGUGAGCCUCGGCGCCCCUUGGAGCGCCCAGCCCGCAGCAGCCCCGAGUGCCGCGAAGAGGUCCGGGGGUGCAGGAACGGGAGGAAGGAUGCCCGAGCGUGCUCCCAUGAUCCGAAGCGAAGUGACUCUGGAUUGCAUAGGAAUAUGACCCUUCCGAACUCAAGGGCUUAUCCUGGUAUUCAGAACAGACCUGAGGCCUUGGAACAUAAGACGAGCCCUGAAGUUGGGUCGGGCCAAAGGCCUAUGCAGAUUUCCAGGAUGCCUGUUUGGGCUUGAACUAGGACCGAUUCAGUGCUGUGGGUCAGUUGUCUUUCCUCCUUUGUCGAUCUUUGAAUGGUUUGUGUCCAUCCCUGUAGAGUGUGAAGCAGUAACAAAGAGGAGAGUGUCUCUGAGCAUGUGCAAGAGCAGUGGCGUAGCGUGGGGGGUGCAGGGGGGGCUGGCCACACCGGGCGCAACAUCUGGGGUUAGGGCAAAUCCACGGGUUAGGGGGCGCAAAUCCACAGGUUAGGGGGCGCAAAUCCACGGGUUAGGGGGCGCAAAUUACUUGCCUUGCCCCGGGUGCUGACAACCCACGCUACGCCGCUGUGCAAGAGUAAGACCCUUCCUCUCCCUUCUGUUUUGUGACUUGAGGACACUCUUGGCCUCCAUUUGAGUUGUUGAAGGCGUGGGCAGGAUAACGGUUGUAGGGCUACAUCUGACUCAGCCUUAGAGCCAUAGCUCAGUGGGUUAGAGAGUAGUGCUGAUAAGGCUAAGGUUGCAGGUUCGAUCCUUAAUGUGGGACAGCUGCGUAUUCCUGCAUCGCAGGGGGCUGGUCUAGGACACCUUCCAGCUCGACAGUUAUAUGAUCAAGACAGAGUAGAGUAAGUAGUAACAGAAAAAAGAGUGCCUCUGGGGGCAUGCAGAGUGCAUUUCUUUCAUUAGUGGGGAAUCUCAGGCCCAAGGGCCAAAUGUGACCCUGCAGCCUUCCCUAUUGGGUCUUUCAAAGUCACGCCCCUCACUGGCCUCGACUGUGUUUGCUGGUCUGCAAAAUGUCCUUGAACUCUGAGAAUGCCUUUCCUGUGCCUUGAUGGAGGACAGAGAGGGGUGUGCGCAGAAGGGUAAAAUUCGCAUUUGUUGCUUUGCACGCUUUUGCCUCUGGCCCUGCCAACUGUUGGCAUGUCGCCAUUGGGCUGGAAAAGACUCCCUGCCUUUGCAGCAGUGAGCGGUUGCAUCUGAUCCACACAUGUCUCAAGAGCAGGGAAGCGGGCAUCUCAGCCAUUCCCUGGGACCAUUGGACUGGGGGUCUUUCUCUUACAGGGUGAGGCAGGGUCCUGUCAACCCUUGGGGUGCUUUAUUGUGCUUUUUUUGCACAGAUUUGGAGUGUGCAGUUCCUCCUGCCUUGCAUUGCUUUUUCAAAUCCCCUCUUUGAAAGCUGGAGUUCUCAGAACCUCCCGAACACUUGAGAUGGGCAUAAUCCAAGUUUAUUAGCUUUUUCGCCCUUCGUGGAUGGAGGCAGAGUUUUCCCUUCUGUUACUAC
Long non-coding RNA from Podarcis muralis (Common wall lizard), 1897 nucleotides. Lineage: Eukaryota; Metazoa; Chordata; Lepidosauria; Squamata; Lacertidae. The record is from Ensembl.